This 468-nucleotide ribosomal RNA is filed under the name uncultured bacterium. RNAcentral describes it as "partial 16S ribosomal RNA". It matches the Rfam family "Bacterial small subunit ribosomal RNA", at positions 28 to 507 of the family's 1533-position model. The record is from RNAcentral.
GACGAACGCUGGCGGCGUGCUUAACACAUGCAAGUCGAACGGAAAGGCCCUGCUUUUGUGGGGUGCUCGAGUGGCGAACGGGUGAGUAACACGUGAGUAACCUGCCCUUGACUUUGGGAUAACUUCAGGAAACUGGGGCUAAUACCGGAUAGGAGCUCCUGCUGCAUGGUGGGGGUUGGAAAGUUUCGGCGGUUGGGGAUGGACUCGCGGCUUAUCAGCUUGUUGGUGGGGUAGUGGCUUACCAAGGCUUCGACGGGUAGCCGGCCUGAGAGGGUGACCGGCCACAUUGGGACUGAGAUACGGCCCAGACUCCUACGGGAGGCAGAAGUGGGGAAUAUUGCACAAUGGGCGGAAGCCUGAUGCAGCAACGCCGCGUGCGGGAUGACGGCCUUCGGGGUGUAAACCGCUUUCGCCUGUGACGAAGCGUGAGUGACGGUAAUGGGUAAAGAAGCACCGGCUAACUACGUG